AGAGGCAUCGCAAACCUGCGGGCAGGUUUGUCUGUUUUUCAGCAGACCUGCGUGAGCUGCGGAGGCCAAGGUUUAUGCUGUCCCGUUCCUUGGGUCCAUGUGAUAGGCUACAUCCAGGCUACGCUGUUCCCUCAACCGCUGUGGAAUGCAGCUGCAUGAGAUCCUGACACUCCCAUCCCCCCUGCAAUCACCUCAUUUUGCUCACCUGACCUUCCCAAAGGGGUAAGCCAGAGUUGGAACACCAAAGCCUGCAUGGAACGUUCCAUCAGCCAUUCACCUAAAUAUACCAGCCCAGAAACAUUGUUCCUCUGACAGUUUGUCAAAGUUAUCAUGUACAGCGUGCCUUUGUUUUCGAGCCUGAGCCUGUACCUAACCUGAACCUGCCAGUUCCAUGCACCAUGCCUAUAUAGCCUCACUUUGA
Long non-coding RNA from Micropterus salmoides (largemouth bass), 421 nucleotides. RefSeq lists it as uncharacterized. The record is from RefSeq and is a predicted model, not a curated record. The transcript has 4 exons. NCBI's taxonomy places the organism in Eukaryota, Metazoa, Chordata, Actinopteri, Centrarchiformes, Centrarchidae.